GCCUGGGUGGCUCAGUCGGUUGAGCGUCCGACUUCGGCUCAGGUCAUGAUCUCGCAGUUCGUGGGUUCGAGCCCCGCGUCGGGCU
This 85-nucleotide transfer RNA is filed under the name Crocuta crocuta (spotted hyena). It matches the Rfam family "tRNA". From Rfam's summary of the family: Transfer RNA (tRNA) molecules are approximately 80 nucleotides in length. Their secondary structure includes four short double-helical elements and three loops (D, anti-codon, and T loops). Lineage: Eukaryota; Metazoa; Chordata; Mammalia; Carnivora; Hyaenidae. The record is from Rfam by way of RNAcentral. RNAcentral also lists the same sequence under 2 other names.